AUUGAACGCUGGCGGCAGGCCUAACACAUGCAAGUCGAGCGGAUGAAGGGAGCUUGCUCCUGGAUUCAGCGGCGGACGGGUGAGUAAUGCCUAGGAAUCUGCCUGGUAGUGGGGGAUAACGUCCGGAAACGGGCGCUAAUACCGCAUACGUCCUGAGGGAGAAAGUGGGGGAUCUUCGGACCUCACGCUAUCAGAUGAGCCUAGGUCGGAUUAGCUAGUUGGUGGGGUAAAGGCCUACCAAGGCGACGAUCCGUAACUGGUCUGAGAGGAUGAUCAGUCACACUGGAACUGAGACACGGCCCAGACUCCUACGGGAGGCAGCAGGGGGGAAUUUUGGACAAUGGGCGAAAGCCUGAUCCAGCCAUGCCGCGUGUGUGAAGAAGGUCUUCGGAUUGUAAAGCUCUUUAAGUUGGGAGGAAGGGGAGUAAGUUAAUACCUUGCUGUUUUGACGUUACCAACAGAAUAAGCACCGGCUAACUUCGUG
RNAcentral lists this ribosomal RNA (484 nucleotides) under uncultured bacterium. RNAcentral describes it as "partial 16S ribosomal RNA". It matches the Rfam family "Bacterial small subunit ribosomal RNA", at positions 30 to 507 of the family's 1533-position model. The record is from RNAcentral.